This 549-nucleotide long non-coding RNA is filed under the name Cricetulus griseus (Chinese hamster). Its description in RNAcentral is "lncRNA (ENSCGRG00000026401.1)". The record is from RNAcentral. Lineage: Eukaryota; Metazoa; Chordata; Mammalia; Rodentia; Cricetidae.
AUUUUUAAGUAGCACUGAAGAAUAAUAUCACUAAUUUCCCCCUCUUUGGGAACAGGCGCCAUUUGUGAAAAACAUGAGCAGGAGAACAUUCUAGAACACAAUCAAGGAAGCUAUGGGACAUUUCUGAGGGGGGAAGGGAAGCAAGUCAGAGUCUGAAGGUGAAGGACAUACCACUAAACUGUUAAGCUGAAAUGGAAAGAGUGAAGCCAGAACCACAGAGGUCACUGCUGGCUAUUAGCACCUUUUCCAGUCACUCUUGCUUCUAAAAUGUUGAAAAUGAGAUCCAGUGUGUGAGCCCGGAGAAGAGAUGCUGCUGUUUUAAAUAGAGUCAUGGGGGAGUCACUUCCCAUCCAAGAUCUUUAAAAUAGCCUAUGUGCUAUUCCCUCCAAGCUCAAGGACCAGGAGACAGAAGCCAACAUCUAGCCAGACAAGAUUUGUCUUGUGGUGGUUCUAGAGACGGGACCUCAUCAAGAACCCUGCACUGUGCCUCGUCCCCAGCCCUGAGAUGUUGACUCCUAACUGUGGUAUUUCAGCUUAAAUUGAUUCUGA